Molecule: unclassified non-coding RNA, 384 nt
Filed under: Hevea brasiliensis (rubber tree)
Lineage: Eukaryota; Viridiplantae; Streptophyta; Magnoliopsida; Malpighiales; Euphorbiaceae
Source: RNAcentral
CUAUGAGCCCUGGGGCUUUUCAUCCAGCGAGGCUUUUUCUCUGCUCAGAGAAGCUUGAUCAGAAUUGCUAGUCCCUAUUAUAGGAUCUUUGUUCUGGGCAGGUAUUUCAUACUUCCAACCUGGGGGUAUUUGAUUCUCCCAACCUGGGGGUAUUUCAUCUGGUGAAAGUUUUCUGCUCAGAGAAGCCUGAUCAGAAUUGCCAGUUCCUACAGUAGAAUAUUUGUUCUGUCCAAGCAUUUCCUUUUCCCAGCCUGGUGGUAUUUCAUCUAGUGAAGCUUUUCUGCUCAGAUAAGCCUGAUCAGAAUUGCCAGAUCCUACUGUCGGGUCUUUAUAAUGGGUAAGUAUUUCCUUUUUCAAGCCUGGUGAUAAUUCAUCCCCUGAAGC